Molecule: ribosomal RNA, 253 nt
Filed under: uncultured bacterium
Lineage: Bacteria
Description: partial 16S ribosomal RNA
Rfam family: Bacterial small subunit ribosomal RNA
Source: RNAcentral
UACGGAGGGUGCGAGCGUUGUCCGGAAUCACUGGGCGUAAAGGGCGCGUAGGUGGCGCGACAAGUCAACGGUGAAAGCUCGGCGCUCAACGCCGAGUCGGCCGUCGAUACUGUUGGGCUGGAGCACUGUAGAGGCUCAUGGAAUUCCGGGUGUAGCGGUGGAAUGCGUAGAGAUCCGGAAGAACACCGGUGGCGAAGGCGGUAAGCUGGGCAGUUGCUGACACUGAGGCGCGACAGCGUGGGGAGCAAACAGG